RNAcentral lists this transfer RNA (58 nucleotides) under Junonia hierta. RNAcentral describes it as "tRNA-Cys". Lineage: Eukaryota; Metazoa; Arthropoda; Insecta; Lepidoptera; Nymphalidae. The record is from RNAcentral.
AGUCUUAUAGUCAAUAAUGAUAUGAAAUUGCAAAUUUUAAGGUGUAAAUUAUACUAAG